Molecule: ribosomal RNA, 547 nt
Filed under: uncultured bacterium
Lineage: Bacteria
Description: bacterial SSU rRNA
Rfam family: Bacterial small subunit ribosomal RNA
Source: RNAcentral
UGGGGAAUAUUGCGCAAUGGGGGGAACCCUGACGCAGCCAUGCCGCGUGAAUGAAGAAGGCCUUCGGGUUGUAAAGUUCUUUCGGUAUUGAGGAAGGUUGAUGUGUUAAUAGCACAUCAAAUUGACGUUAAAUACAGAAGAAGCACCGGCUAACUCCGUGCCAGCAGCCGCGGUAAUACGGAGGGUGCGAGCGUUAAUCGGAGUAACUGGGCGUAAAGGGCACGCAGGCGGUUAUUUAAGUGAGGUGUGAAAGCCCCGGGCUUAACCUGGGAAUUGCAUUUCAGACUGGGUAACUAGAGUACUUUAGGGAGGGGUAGAAUUCCACGUGUAGCGGUGAAAUGCGUAGAGAUGUGGAGGAAUACCGAAGGCGAAGGCAGCCCCUUGGGAAUGUACUGACGCUCAUGUGCGAAAGCGUGGGGAGCAAACAGGAUUAGAUACCCUGGUAGUCCACGCUGUAAACGCUGUCGAUUUGGGGGUUGGGGUUUAACUCUGGCGCCCGUAGCUAACGUGAUAAAUCGACCGCCUGGGGAGUACGGCCGCAAGGUUA